Molecule: transfer RNA, 69 nt
Filed under: Marmota monax (woodchuck)
Lineage: Eukaryota; Metazoa; Chordata; Mammalia; Rodentia; Sciuridae
Also listed under: 1 other name
Rfam family: tRNA
About the family: Transfer RNA (tRNA) molecules are approximately 80 nucleotides in length. Their secondary structure includes four short double-helical elements and three loops (D, anti-codon, and T loops).
Source: Rfam by way of RNAcentral
GGGGUUGUAGCUCAGUGGUAGAGCACUUGCCUUACACACAUGAGGCCCUAGGUUUGAUCCUCAGCACCA